AAUAACUCAAAUUAUUUAGGACAUCUCCUUGAGAUCAACAUUAUGUCAUUAACUUCUUAUCAACCAAUAAAAUCAUUCUGGUACUUAUGGUCUCUGCAGUAAUAUUUCAUAAAGGUAUACAUACCCCCACCUCCAAUUAAAUAUUGGGGGUCUUAUCAACUACUCUCUUGUCCAGCCAGUAUCUGGAUGUUACUGCAGACCAAACACUUCAUGGAGAAGCAAAUAUUCACUGCACUUCUUGGAGAAGUAAUUAUUCACUAAAAAUGAUCUUAAUCCAAUUUGUAAUAUUUGACCUGGAAAACAGGCGUUAUCAUAUUGUUUAUGGAAAUAAACAAAUUUCACACAUAACUCUGGGGUCUCCAUUAAAAUGAAGUCUUUAUCAGCUCACUAAUAUGAAACUACAGGACAUAAUUAUGCGUUCAUCUGGGUGCUUAGCAGUCAGAGACAGUCUGUAGGUGGUUGAAUCAGAUUCAGAUCCAAAUAUCAGCCAAAAUGCUGACGUCAUGUCUAUAGCGGGGAGGUUCUGGGCCCCCCCCGCAAAACAACCCUAGAUACGCCAAUGUCACAAUGUGAUCAUAUUCUGAUACUUCAACAAAGUAAUCCUGUAAUGUGUCCAAAGGAAUGAGAUCAUGGAUUCUUCGAUCUGAAGCAAGAAGAAGAAUGAGAGCUGUUUAUCAAGUAAAAUUCAAUGCUAGAAGAAAGUCCAGCAGCCGGCAACCAGUCAAAUUAAUUCCAGUAAUUUAAUACUAAAGACCGGUGAUCUCGGUGUACUUGGCCUUGCAAGUGAAAUGGCCUUAAGGAACUGAUGUACAAAAGGUAAAGGUAGAUACAACUGACCUAAGUAUCAGUUUUGUACUGCAAGUUUUUGCUGUAAAAACAGCUUGGCUAACAGCAGCGCUAUAAUAACGGCGUAAAACAUCUUUCAUCUUCGAAUCGGUAACCCAAAAAUCCUGGGGGGCACCAGACCAGACCAUUCUGGGGUGCCAUAGCCCCCGGGGGGGCGGAUAUAUAUGGGGGGUACGGACCGCCCCGCGCGCCAAGCCACGCUACGCCGCCACUGGCUACCACAUCACUACCAGUUGGUAACUUGUGGUCAAUGCUGUGAGAUUGACCCACAUAAUGCAUCUUAUGAUUGCUCCUUCCACCACCAAUUUUAAAUUUUGGAGAGAUAACUUAUCUACUUGUUGUAGACUAGGGUCUCUAACAGAUCCUUUAUUAGCACUGGGGCCGAUGUUAUUAGAAUGUAUGUUCCGUCUGCCAUUCAAGUAUGGUAACGUCUGUAGCUGGGAGGUGAAAACACUCAUCCAGCUGAUAAUCCCAGAGACGGCUGAAGGGCGUCAUAAAGAAUCAGAGUUCUGAUCUAUUUGCCUUAAUGUGGUACAAAAGAUGGAUAAUACUAUUUAUUAGCUAAUUUUCAAUUAUAAUUUUACUUGUUUAUUUAAGGAACACAAACAGUAUAAUUUUAUUUAAUAUUUAACAUCCAUCUUUUGAGUCCAGUGUAACAUAGUUAAUACCUACUACUGCCGUGGCCCUGGAAGCCAAUAAGUCUAUUUUGGGACACCCCUACAUAAUGAAUAUAGCCUCUGUGGCCGGGGGUACUAAUGGAUUCUAACUGGAACAAACAAGUCUCUGUCUGCGACUCCCCAUACACUGAGUAUGGCCUCCGCGGCCUGGGGUACUAAUAUAUUCUAAAUGGAAGCAAACAAGUCUCUGUCUGGGACUCCCCAUACACUGAGUAUGGCCUCCGCGGCCUGGGGUACUAAUAGAUUCCACCUGGGUACUACUCGACCCUUUGAUGUUACAGGUGGUCUGGGAUACCGUGCCUAUGGCCCGGUCUGCAAUCCCAUCUCCUGGUAGAUAACAAGCCGACAGCGUCAUGUCGAGCUGUUCGGUCAAGUUCAUGAGCUUGGUGGUCAAUUUGAGGAGGGCCCGUGAUCGAGUACCUCCUUCGUUUCUGACUGUGUCUGUGUCAGAAUGUGACCUUCAGGAGCUUGGUGGUCAAUUUGAGGAGGGCCCGUGAUCGAGUACCUCCUUCGUUUCUGACUGUGUCUGUGUCAGAAUGUGACCUUCAUGAGCUUGGUGGUCAAUUUGAGGAGGGCCCGUGAUCGAGUACCUCCUUCGUUUCUGACUGUGUCUGUGUCAGAAUGUGACCUUCAGGAGCUUGGUGGUUAAUUUGAGGAGGGCCCGUGAUCGAGUACCUCCUUGUAUCAGGAUGUGAACUUCAUUCAAUCGAUCCUGAUGACUUAAUGCUACAUCUCCAUCGCAUUGGAGUGUCAUCAUCACUAGUAAAAAUAUAUAUGUAUUUUUCAAAAGUAAAUGCCAACAUUACAUUUUAGGUGUGCGUUGUAACACUGACCUGUAAAAUUUUUGUAAAGUACUGUCUAUUUUCUUUCUCUGACCUUUAAUCUACUGUUAUAAUAAUAUUUUCGAAAAAAAAAUAAUUAGCAACCCUAGUUGAACGCCCCACUACGCAUCCGCUGCGUCUGUGGACUUGGAAGUCUGUGACUUCUUUUCGCCGCAACGGCUUUGAACUAAAGUCUAUGGCGUCUAUACCUCUUAAAAUCCUCUCAGAAACAGCUGUAUACUAUUGUGUAUUUAGUUGACAUUGACAGUUUAUAAUAUUGUAACUAAUUGUGGGUAUACAAAUAAUAAAUCAGUUAUGCUUUGACUUGA
Molecule: long non-coding RNA, 2673 nt
Organism: Ostrinia nubilalis (European corn borer)
Lineage: Eukaryota; Metazoa; Arthropoda; Insecta; Lepidoptera; Crambidae
Exons: 2
Source: RefSeq, a predicted model, not a curated record